This 102-nucleotide microRNA precursor is filed under the name Jaculus jaculus (lesser Egyptian jerboa). Its description in RNAcentral is "microRNA 20a (ENSJJAG00000006422.1)". The stretch from base 12 to 88 matches the Rfam family "mir-17 microRNA precursor family". From Rfam's summary of the family: This family represents the microRNA (miRNA) precursor mir-17, family, which includes mir-20, mir-91, and mir-103. miRNAs are transcribed as ~70nt precursors (modelled here) and subsequently processed by the Dicer enzyme to give a ~22nt product. Lineage: Eukaryota; Metazoa; Chordata; Mammalia; Rodentia; Dipodidae. The record is from RNAcentral.
UGAUGGACAGCUCUGCAGCACUAAAGUGCUUAUAGUGCAGGUAGUGUCUCGGGAUCUACUGCAUCGUGAGCACUUACAGUGCUGCCGGCUGUAGAGCGCCAG